CGUCAUCUCUUUGUCUUCAACCACGUGGCUGUUCUUCUGCAAGACCAUCUCUGUCACCGCCACUACGCUAGUCGAACAGCUUAGCGCAGUGCAUGACGGAGAUGGGCUGAGUGCUAUGUGUAGCUGCGUUAUGAAGUGUAUCGCCUCAUGUGCUCUUAAUAAAUAAGAAGCCUCGGCGUGUCUCGCAAGUGGCUCACUACACUAGUAUAAGGGCCUGUAUGUAAGUCUAUGGAUCUCGAAGUAAGAACAGUGGACGCGACUAGAGAAAAGGCACAGAAUGAAAGCACACGGAGAGAUAGAAAAAAAACCCCAAGCAGUUGACCCCACGCAAUUCCGAGUAGUCUUGGCUCAGAAAAAAGAAAUUGACACAGGCCACCCUGGCCCCGACGGUGGGGGUCGUGGGUAUCGGGUGAACACCUCUGAUGCACUCGAGCGACAUUGAAGAGGGGCUUGCUUGUUUUUGUCGGUAAUUAGUUGGGGCGCUGUGAUGUCACGGGGUUCUGCAACAUCGUGUGCAGGGAAAUGGACACCGCCGGGCGUGCGUGGCACACCGAGUAACCACGCACAGGGGACUUGUGCAACAACAAGCUAUGGGAGGCACCGAAGAACCCGGAGGAAAGCCACACAAAGCAAGAGCCGAUCAUUUAAAAUUCAAAUAAAAAGGUGGAGAACUCAGACGCGUCAUGCUGUAAGGCUGUCAGGCACGGGUGUUAUCACUGUGCAACCCUGCCGGUCAGAUAUGAUGUAAACAGUCAUUAGGCAUAUAUUCACCCUCCGAGUGGAUGAAUAUCGACAACUAAAGAAUACAUUAUUGAUCUC
Molecule: long non-coding RNA, 819 nt
Organism: Lethenteron reissneri (Far Eastern brook lamprey)
Lineage: Eukaryota; Metazoa; Chordata; Hyperoartia; Petromyzontiformes; Petromyzontidae
Source: RefSeq, a predicted model, not a curated record